ACAGAAAAAUUCUCAAUUAUUAUUCAUGCAUGAAUAAGUUCAAAAAAGAGAUGUGGGGGAUGUUGUUUCAAUUCCAGGUGAUUGUAGGAAGGACUGUCAAGAUGGAAAGGCUAGUGUCUGCAAAGGGCAAAGGAACACUUCUGGUUUUCAUUUUCCCUUUGUCUUUGAGUGCAAGAGGCCAUGAGGAGAGUGUGCCCUAAACUGGGACCUUUUUUGAACAUUGCAGCUGAGAUGGAGAAGUGUUCCACCUUCUAGAAGGACUUCAGGACAAAGAUAUGUAAUGAAAAUAAGUCCAGGCUGGCUGUCCUUGUGGGCAUCAGCUACUGACAUCUGCAUAGUUGUUGCUAUGGGAAUGGCAGAACAGGUGGAAUCUUGCAUAUCCUUGUGUGACAUAAGCACUGGUGAAUUCAAAGCCAGAGGGGUAUAAUAGAAACAGCAUCACCUCCCUGCCAGAUUAGGCAAAGGGUGAGUGGGAUGUUGUUUCAAUUAGUGCUGAUGUGAGGAAGGACUGUAAGGAUGGAAAGGCUGGUGUUUGCCAUCGGGCAGGGAAACACAUCUGGUUUUCAUCUUCUCUUUGUCUUUGAGUGCCAGAAAAAUAGAGGAGAGUGUGCUCUAACCUUGGACCCCUCCUGCCCUCUUCUGCUGAGAGGGAGAAAUGUUCCAGCUUCUAGAAGGACAUCAGGACAAAGAUAUGAGCUCUUGACUUGAAAGCUAGAGGGAUGCAAUAGAAUGAGCUGCAACCUCUGCCAGACAUGGCAAAGAAAAAGAGGAGAGUGUGCCCUAAUCUUGGACCCCUCCUGCCCUCUUCUGCUGAGAUGGAGAAAUGUUCCAGCUUCUAGAAGGACAUCAGGACAAAGAUAUGUAAUGAAAAUAAGUCCAGGCUGGGUGUCCUUGUGGGCAUCAGCUGCUGGCAUCUGCAUUGCUGCUUCCAUGAGUAUGGCACAGCAGGUAA
RNAcentral lists this long non-coding RNA (952 nucleotides) under Phasianus colchicus (ring-necked pheasant). RNAcentral's name for it is "lncRNA (ENSPCLG00000013250.1)". Lineage: Eukaryota; Metazoa; Chordata; Aves; Galliformes; Phasianidae. The record is from RNAcentral.